CUCCACAGACAGCCUGAGAGCGGCAGGGGGGAGAGCUCUGUGGGACCCAGCAGCCCCAGCCACGGGACGACAGACGCGCCCGUGCCGGUGCCGCUGUUUUCCAAGGAGGGCGGAGAGCAGCGUUGGGUGGAGGGCACGCGUCUGGAGCCGGGUUUCGUCAGGUGCCCUGCUGGAAAGGGCGGGCUGACUGCAGGCCAGGGGCACAGUGGCUGGAGAGUGGCCCGCCCGGGCGUGUGUGGGUGAUCUCGGCGAGUGAGCGGCAGCCAGGCCCCCGCCUGCAGGGCACUUCUGCCCCUGACGCUCCAGUUCACGCAGCAGUUCUCGCUGGGAUCACAGACGAAGAAGCAGGGGCAGCCCGGCGGCAGCGCUGGCCUUUCUGAUGGCAGCUGCAGCAGCCUGGAGUCCAGGAGUCACAUGACUUUAAGUAAUGCCCUCAAUCACAGGAGAGGGAGGUUGUGCAGCUCACCCGCUGGGAGUUGUGUGAUCACUGAAGAAUCCCCAGGCGGAUGGAUGAGAGCAGCCUGGGAGAAGGCGCCCCCUUCCUUACCUGGGCCUGUGGGGACCGAGAGCUGCCCCCUGGGACAGCGCCGAGCGGGCCCAGUGUUAACUGCCUUGCGGUCCUCCACGUGGCUAAUUUGGAGGCCCCGGCUGAACUUUUUCUGUUGUUGCUAUCCGUUUCCCACCACAGAUGUGUUACCUUAAAGUGCUGUGGGCCAGAAGUCUGAGGCUGAAGGCAGAAUGAGGACUUUGAAGUUGCUCUGAUGACAAAGAGCAAUGCCACAGGCAGAUCUAUGAACCGCAACCGUCUCUAAUGCUGGUGAUGGUGGGGCCUCUCAGCUCAAGAGGACGAACAGAGGAACGAAGGGCACUGUUGGCUUUGGAUGCGGCUGGAGUCCUGCUCCUCUUCCUGAGCUCUUAGGAGCCGUCGGCCAGAGGAAUUCACCCUGAAGUUGUUGGAGCACCGGGCUGGCCCACGCUAGAGCCUCCUGAGGACAGGCAGAACGCCCCAGCAGCUUCGGGCGGGCGCGAGAGGUCCCUGUAGCAGUCUCGAAGGCCGGAGCUCUCUGUACGUUGUGGCGGUUUUGUUUGCCAGGCAGCCGCUUGCUCCAGGAGGGUGUGGGGGCCCAGGGAGGCGCAGCACUGCCAUGUAGACCACAUUUUAUUACUCCCUCUCCAGGCCUGCUUUGUACCUGCUGAUUCUGAG
This 1204-nucleotide long non-coding RNA is filed under the name Heterocephalus glaber (naked mole-rat). Its description in RNAcentral is "lncRNA (ENSHGLG00000032629.1)". The record is from RNAcentral. Lineage: Eukaryota; Metazoa; Chordata; Mammalia; Rodentia; Bathyergidae.